Long non-coding RNA from Neofelis nebulosa (Clouded leopard), 822 nucleotides. RefSeq lists it as uncharacterized. Lineage: Eukaryota; Metazoa; Chordata; Mammalia; Carnivora; Felidae. The transcript is spliced from 3 exons. The record is from RefSeq and is a predicted model, not a curated record.
GGGCUGGACCAGGAACCCACGCUGGGAGGCCACUUCUGGGGCACAGGACCCGGCGCUGGAGCAGGGGACCCUGGCACUCACUGGCCAGAAGCGCUUUCUGAGCAGCGAUGCAGUGUGGCCCGAGGAAUAAGUGCUCCUCAAUGUCAUGGGUGGGGCCCCAGCCCAGUCCCAGUCCCAGUCCCACCCCCUUCCUCCAGGAGUCAGCGUGGCGAGGGCGGAAAAAGAAGCAAGAAAUCCAUUUCCCGCGGGAGACGUGCGCCUCCCGUGUGACCAAAAGCCAGCAUAUGUUGUGGAAGGAAACAGACCAAAAUUAACUGGAGUGCUCUCUGUGGAUCGUGGCAACUCUUUCCUGAGGGAGCAGUGGGACGUGGGGACCUGGGGCCUGCGUGACGGAGAAACUGGCUCUGGAGACUGGUCGCGGACGCGAAGGCUUCUUCAGAAAGCUGUCAGAAGGAUUCAGUGAGAGCUCCUCGCCGCCCGCCCCACCUCCUGCCCCGUCAGCAGACAUCAGAAUUGCUGUUCGUCAUGGCAGAUAUUCCCACUAAGAGGACAGACAAACUGAGGGUCUGAGAGCGUCCGGACAGCCUGUCCAUGGGAGAAGGUAUAGUUCUUCCCCUCAGAGCACUCCUUGGGCCAUCUCAAGCGUAGCAGACCACAGGCACCCGCCGUGAUCCCAACUCAGGUAGUCGAGACCCAAACAAACGCCCCGAGGGGCCAGGGGACCUUCUUUCUUUGGCAUUUCUCCCUCUCCGCCCCAGGCCUGUAUGAACCAGAGAUGACUGAACAGUCCCCUGCAAAUAUGUACAAAGGAGAUGGGCCGGG